GCCUGAGUGGCUCAGUCGGUUGAGCAUCUGACUUCGGCUCAGGUCAUGAUCUCACAGUUCGUGAGUUCGAGACCCGUGUUGGGCU
RNAcentral lists this transfer RNA (85 nucleotides) under Felis catus (domestic cat). It matches the Rfam family "tRNA". From Rfam's summary of the family: Transfer RNA (tRNA) molecules are approximately 80 nucleotides in length. Their secondary structure includes four short double-helical elements and three loops (D, anti-codon, and T loops). Lineage: Eukaryota; Metazoa; Chordata; Mammalia; Carnivora; Felidae. The record is from Rfam by way of RNAcentral.